GGGUCAGUAGGUUGGUCGUGCCACCGGUACGUACUGGUCUCACUGAUUCCUCCUUCCUGAAGAACCGUAAUGCCAUUAAUUUGGUGUUGCGGGGAAACAGGACUGUUACUUUGAAAAAAUUAGAGUGCUUAAAGCAAGCUAACGAUUGAAUACAUUAGCAUGGAAUAAUGAAAUAGGACGAUCGAUCCUAUUUUGUUGGUUUCUAGGAUUGACGUA
RNAcentral lists this ribosomal RNA (216 nucleotides) under Glomeromycotina sp. Its description in RNAcentral is "partial small subunit ribosomal RNA". The stretch from base 40 to 216 matches the Rfam family "Eukaryotic small subunit ribosomal RNA", at positions 686 to 864 of the family's 1831-position model. The record is from RNAcentral. Lineage: Eukaryota; Fungi; Glomeromycota.